Molecule: ribosomal RNA, 515 nt
Filed under: uncultured bacterium
Lineage: Bacteria
Description: partial 16S ribosomal RNA
Rfam family: Bacterial small subunit ribosomal RNA
Source: RNAcentral
GAUGAACGCUGGCGGCGUGCCUAAUACAUGCAAGUCGAGCGAAUGGAUUAAGAGCUUGCUCUUAUGAAGUUAGCGGCGGACGGGUGAGUAACACGUGGGUAACCUGCCCUUAAGACUGGGAUAACUCCGGGAAACCGGGGCUAAUACCGGAUAACAUUUUGAACCGCAUGGUUCGAAAUUGAAAGGCGGCUUCGGCUGUCACUUAUGGAUGGACCCGCGUCGCAUUAGCUAGUUGGUGAGGUAACGGCUCACCAAGGCAACGAUGCGUAGCCGACCUGAGAGGGUGAUCGGCCACACUGGGACUGGGACACGGCCCAGACUCCUACGGGGGGCAGCAGUAGGGAAUCUUCCGCAAUGGACGAAAGUCUGACGGGGCAACGCCGCGUGAGUGAUGAAGGCUUUCGGGUCGUAAAACUCUGUUGUUAGGGAAGAACAAGUGGUAGUUGAAUAAGCUGGCACCUUGACGGUACCUAACCAGAAAGCCACGGCUAACUACGUGCCAGCAGCCGCCGUAA